GAUGAAGAACGUAGCGAAAUGCGAUAAGUAAUGUGAAUUGCAGAAUUCAGUGAAUCAUCGAAUCUUUGAACGCACAUUGCGCCCCUUGGUAUUCCGAGGGGCAUGCCCGUUCGAGCGUCAUUAUACCCCUCAAGCCUAGCUUGGUGUUGGGGCCUGCUGUUACCGGCAGCCCUUAAAAUCAGUGGCGGUGCCAUCUGGCUCUAAGCGUAGUAAUACUUCUCGCUACAGGGUCCCGGUGGAUGCUUGCCAUCAACCCCUAAUUUUCUAUGGUUGACCUCGGAUCGGGUAGGGAUACCCGCUGAACUUAAGCAUAUCAAUAAGCGGAGG
This 327-nucleotide unclassified non-coding RNA is filed under the name soil metagenome. RNAcentral describes it as "partial contains 5.8S ribosomal RNA, internal transcribed spacer 2, and large subunit ribosomal RNA". The stretch from base 1 to 120 matches the Rfam family "5.8S ribosomal RNA", at positions 35 to 154 of the family's 154-position model. The record is from RNAcentral.